Non-coding RNA from Acanthosepion pharaonis, 111 nucleotides. The record is from the annotation of a GenBank genome assembly. NCBI's taxonomy places the organism in Eukaryota, Metazoa, Mollusca, Cephalopoda, Sepiida, Sepiidae.
GACGGUCACAUUACGUUGAGACAACGCUUCCCGUACGAUCACCGAAGUUAAAGAACGUCGGGCUUGGUUAGUACAGAGAUGGGCGAUCACUUAGGAAGAACAGUUACUGUA